Molecule: ribosomal RNA, 254 nt
Filed under: uncultured bacterium
Lineage: Bacteria
Description: partial 16S ribosomal RNA
Rfam family: Bacterial small subunit ribosomal RNA
Source: RNAcentral
GACAGAGGGUGCAAACGUUGUUCGGAAUUACUGGGCGUAAAGCGCGUGUAGGCGGUCUCGCAAGGUCGGAUGUGAAAGCCCAGGGCUCAACCCUGGAAGUGCACUCGAUACUGCGAGGCUAGAGUCCCGGAGAGGAUGGUGGAACUCUCGGUGUAGAGGUGAAAUUCGUAGAUAUCGAGAAGAACACCGGUGGCGAAGGCGGCCAUCUGGACGGUGACUGACGCUGAGACGCGAAAGCGUGGGGAGCAAACAGG